AUUGAACGCUGGCGGCAGGCCUAACACAUGCAAGUCGAGCGGUUGAGGUAGCUUGCUACCGAUGCAGCGGCGAACGGGUGAGUAAUACAUGGGAAUCUGCCUGGUAGUGGGGGACAACGUCUCGAAAGGGACGCUAAUACCGCAUACGCCCUACGGGGGAAAGGGGGGGAUCUUCGGACCUCUCGCUAUCAGAUGAGCCCAUGUCAGAUUAGCUAGUUGGUGGGGUAAAGGCUCACCAAGGCGACGAUCUGUAACUGGUCUGAGAGGAUGAUCAGGCACACUGGAACUGAGACACGGGCCAGACUCCUACGGGAGGCAGCAGUGGGGAAUAUUGGACAAUGGGCGCAAGCCUGAUCCAGCCAUGCCGCGUGUGUGAAGAAGGCCUUAGGGUUGUAAAGCACUUUCAGUGGGGAGAAAGGUUAUUCACCUAAUACGUGAGUAAAUUGAUGUUACCCACAGAAGAAGCACCGGCUAACUCCGUGCCAGCAGCCGCCGCAG
Molecule: ribosomal RNA, 498 nt
Filed under: uncultured bacterium
Lineage: Bacteria
Description: partial 16S ribosomal RNA
Rfam family: Bacterial small subunit ribosomal RNA
Source: RNAcentral